Molecule: ribosomal RNA, 496 nt
Filed under: uncultured bacterium
Lineage: Bacteria
Description: partial 16S ribosomal RNA
Rfam family: Bacterial small subunit ribosomal RNA
Source: RNAcentral
GACGAACGCUGGCGGCGUGCCUAAUACAUGCAAGUAGAACGCACUCUCGAGUAGCUUGCACGAGUUUGCUCCUGAUCGAAAAACUUUUUAGUGAGUGGCGGACGGGUGUGUAACACGUGGGUAACCUGCCCUAAAGUGGGGGAUAACAUUUGGAAACAGAAGCUAAUACCGCAUAAAACCUAACACCGCAUGGUGUCGGGUUGAAAGAUGGUUUCGGUUGUAUUAGUUGGAUGGAAAGGUAGUGGCUCACCUAGGUGGCGAUGCAUAGCCUACCUGAGAGGGUAAUCGGCCACACGGGGACUGGAACACGGCCCAGACUCCUACGGGAGGCAGCAUUAGGGAAUCUUCCACAUUGGACGAAAGUCUGAUGGAGCAACGCCCCUUGGUGGAAGAAGUUUUUCGAAUCUUAAAACUUUGUUGUUGGAGAGGAAUGUAUCUGAUAGUGACUGAUCAGGUAGUGACGGUAUCCAACCAGAAAGCCACGGCUAACUACGUG